Molecule: long non-coding RNA, 89 nt
Organism: Etheostoma spectabile (orangethroat darter)
Lineage: Eukaryota; Metazoa; Chordata; Actinopteri; Perciformes; Percidae
Exons: 3
Source: RefSeq, a predicted model, not a curated record
AAUGAUGGGUAACUGGGGCUGGAUUUUGCUAACGGAGUUUCCCAGUUGGUGACGCGUUGUUGACAGCUGGCAUUUGAUUCACAGAACUU